RNAcentral lists this ribosomal RNA (502 nucleotides) under uncultured bacterium. RNAcentral's name for it is "partial 16S ribosomal RNA". It matches the Rfam family "Bacterial small subunit ribosomal RNA", at positions 30 to 523 of the family's 1533-position model. The record is from RNAcentral.
AUUGAACGCUGGCGGCAGGCCUAACACAUGCAAGUCGAGCGGCAGCACGGGUACUUGUACCUGGUGGCGAGCGGCGGACGGGUGAGUAAUGCCUAGGAAUCUGCCUGGUAGUGGGGGAUAACGUCCGGAAACGGGCGCUAAUACCGCAUACGUCCUACGGGAGAGAGUGGGGGAUCUUCGGACCUCACGCUAUUUGAUGAGCCGAGGUCGGAGUAGCUAGUUGGUGAGGUAAUGGCUCACCAAGGCGACGAUCCGUAACUGGUCUGAGAGGAUGAUCAGUCACACUGGAACUGAGACACGGUCCAGACUCCUACGGGAGGCAGCAGUGGGGAAUAUUGGACAAUGGGCGAAAGCCUGAUCCAGCCAUGCCGCGUGUGUGAAGAAGGUCUUCGGAUUGUAAAGCACUUUAAGUUGGGAGGAAGGGCAGUUACCUAAUACGUGAUUGUUUUGACGUUACCGACAGAAUAAGCACCGGCUAACUCUGUGCCAGCAGCCGCAGUAA